This 2930-nucleotide ribosomal RNA is filed under the name Escherichia coli O157:H7. Its description in RNAcentral is "23S ribosomal RNA". It matches the Rfam family "Bacterial large subunit ribosomal RNA". The record is from RNAcentral. Lineage: Bacteria; Pseudomonadati; Pseudomonadota; Gammaproteobacteria; Enterobacterales; Enterobacteriaceae.
GGGUUGUGAGGUUAAGCGACUAAGCGUACACGGUGGAUGCCCUGGCAGUCAGAGGCGAUGAAGGACGUGCUAAUCUGCGAUAAGCGUCGGUAAGGUGAUAUGAACCGUUAUAACCGGCGAUUUCCGAAUGGGGAAACCCAGUGUGAUUCGUCACACUAUCAUUAACUGAAUCCAUAGGUUAAUGAGGCGAACCGGGGGAACUGAAACAUCUAAGUACCCCGAGGAAAAGAAAUCAACCGAGAUUCCCCCAGUAGCGGCGAGCGAACGGGGAGCAGCCCAGAGCCUGAAUCAGUGUGUGUGUUAGUGGAAGCGUCUGGAAAGGCGCGCGAUACAGGGUGACAGCCCCGUACACAAAAAUGCACAUACUGUGAGCUCGAUGAGUAGGGCGGGACACGUGGUAUCCUGUCUGAAUAUGGGGGGACCAUCCUCCAAGGCUAAAUACUCCUGACUGACCGAUAGUGAACCAGUACCGUGAGGGAAAGGCGAAAAGAACCCCGGCGAGGGGAGUGAAAAAGAACCUGAAACCGUGUACGUACAAGCAGUGGGAGCCUCUUUUAUGGGGUGACUGCGUACCUUUUGUAUAAUGGGUCAGCGACUUAUAUUCUGUAGCAAGGUUAACCGAAUAGGGGAGCCGAAGGGAAACCGAGUCUUAACCGGGCGUUAAGUUGCAGGGUAUAGACCCGAAACCCGGUGAUCUAGCCAUGGGCAGGUUGAAGGUUGGGUAACACUAACUGGAGGACCGAACCGACUAAUGUUGAAAAAUUAGCGGAUGACUUGUGGCUGGGGGUGAAAGGCCAAUCAAACCGGGAGAUAGCUGGUUCUCCCCGAAAGCUAUUUAGGUAGCGCCUCGUGAAUUCAUCUCCGGGGGUAGAGCACUGUUUCGGCAAGGGGGUCAUCCCGACUUACCAACCCGAUGCAAACUGCGAAUACCGGAGAAUAUUAUCACGGGAGACACACGGCGGGUGCUAACGUCCGUCGUGAAGAGGGAAACAACCCAGACCGCCAGCUAAGGUCCCAAAGUCAUGGUUAAGUGGGAAACGAUGUGGGAAGGCCCAGACAGCCAGGAUGUUGGCUUAGAAGCAGCCAUCAUUUAAAGAAAGCGUAAUAGCUCACUGGUCGAGUCGGCCUGCGCGGAAGAUGUAACGGGGCUAAACCAUGCACCGAAGCUGCGGCAGCGACACUGUGUGUUGUUGGGUAGGGGAGCGUUCUGUAAGCCUGUGAAGGUGUGCUGUGAGGCAUGCUGGAGGUAUCAGAAGUGCGAAUGCUGACAUAAGUAACGAUAAAGCGGGUGAAAAGCCCGCUCGCCGGAAGACCAAGGGUUCCUGUCCAACGUUAAUCGGGGCAGGGUGAGUCGACCCCUAAGGCGAGGCCGAAAGGCGUAGUCGAUGGGAAACAGGUUAAUAUUCCUGUACUUGGUGUUACUGCGAAGGGGGGACGGAGAAGGCUAUGUUGGCCGGGCGACGGUUGUCCCGGUUUAAGCGUGUAGGCUGGUUUUCCAGGCAAAUCCGGAAAAUCAAGGCUGAGGCGUGAUGACGAGGCACUACGGUGCUGAAGCAACAAAUGCCCUGCUUCCAGGAAAAGCCUCUAAGCAUCAGGUAACAUCAAAUCGUACCCCAAACCGACACAGGUGGUCAGGUAGAGAAUACCAAGGCGCUUGAGAGAACUCGGGUGAAGGAACUAGGCAAAAUGGUGCCGUAACUUCGGGAGAAGGCACGCUGAUAUGUAGGUGAAGUCCCUCGCGGAUGGAGCUGAAAUCAGUCGAAGAUACCAGCUGGCUGCAACUGUUUAUUAAAAACACAGCACUGUGCAAACACGAAAGUGGACGUAUACGGUGUGACGCCUGCCCGGUGCCGGAAGGUUAAUUGAUGGGGUCAGCGCAAGCGAAGCUCUUGAUCGAAGCCCCGGUAAACGGCGGCCGUAACUAUAACGGUCCUAAGGUAGCGAAAUUCCUUGUCGGGUAAGUUCCGACCUGCACGAAUGGCGUAAUGAUGGCCAGGCUGUCUCCACCCGAGACUCAGUGAAAUUGAACUCGCUGUGAAGAUGCAGUGUACCCGCGGCAAGACGGAAAGACCCCGUGAACCUUUACUAUAGCUUGACACUGAACAUUGAGCCUUGAUGUGUAGGAUAGGUGGGAGGCUUUGAAGUGUGGACGCCAGUCUGCAUGGAGCCGACCUUGAAAUACCACCCUUUAAUGUUUGAUGUUCUAACGUGGACCCGUGAUCCGGGUUGCGGACAGUGUCUGGUGGGUAGUUUGACUGGGGCGGUCUCCUCCUAAAGAGUAACGGAGGAGCACGAAGGUUGGCUAAUCCUGGUCGGACAUCAGGAGGUUAGUGCAAUGGCAUAAGCCAGCUUGACUGCGAGCGUGACGGCGCGAGCAGGUGCGAAAGCAGGUCAUAGUGAUCCGGUGGUUCUGAAUGGAAGGGCCAUCGCUCAACGGAUAAAAGGUACUCCGGGGAUAACAGGCUGAUACCGCCCAAGAGUUCAUAUCGACGGCGGUGUUUGGCACCUCGAUGUCGGCUCAUCACAUCCUGGGGCUGAAGUAGGUCCCAAGGGUAUGGCUGUUCGCCAUUUAAAGUGGUACGCGAGCUGGGUUUAGAACGUCGUGAGACAGUUCGGUCCCUAUCUGCCGUGGGCGCUGGAGAACUGAGGGGGGCUGCUCCUAGUACGAGAGGACCGGAGUGGACGCAUCACUGGUGUUCGGGUUGUCAUGCCAAUGGCACUGCCCGGUAGCUAAAUGCGGAAGAGAUAAGUGCUGAAAGCAUCUAAGCACGAAACUUGCCCCGAGAUGAGUUCUCCCUGACCCUUUAAGGGUCCUGAAGGAACGUUGAAGACGACGACGUUGAUAGGCCGGGUGUGUAAGCGCAGCGAUGCGUUGAGCUAACCGGUACUAAUGAACCGUGAGGCUUAACCUUACAACGCCGAAGGUGUUU